AUUGAACGCUGGCGGCAUGCCUUACACAUGCAAGUCGAACGGUAACAAGUCUUCGGAUGCUGACGAGUGGCGAACGGGUGAGUAAUACAUCGGAACGUGCCUAGUAGUGGGGGAUAACUACUCGAAAGAGUGGCUAAUACCGCAUGAGAUCUACGGAUGAAAGCAGGGGAUCGCAAGGCCUUGUGCUACCAGAGCGGCCGAUGGCAGAUUAGGGAGUUGGUGGGAUAAAAGCUUACCAAGCCGACGAUCUGUAGCUGGUCUGAGAGGACGAUCAGCCACACUGGGACUGAGACACGGCCCAGACUCCUACGGGAGGCAGCAGUGGGGAAUUUUGGACAAUGGGCGCAAGCCUGAUCCAGCAAUGCCGCGUGCAGGAUGAGGGCCUUCGGGUUGUAAACUGCUUUUGUACGGAACGAAAAGCCCCGGGUUAAUACCCUGGGGUCAUGACGGUACCGUAAGAAUAAGCACCGGCUAACUACGUGCCAGCCGCCGCAGUAA
RNAcentral lists this ribosomal RNA (498 nucleotides) under uncultured bacterium. RNAcentral's name for it is "partial 16S ribosomal RNA". It matches the Rfam family "Bacterial small subunit ribosomal RNA", at positions 30 to 523 of the family's 1533-position model. The record is from RNAcentral.